GUGUUCGCUUCAGCAGCAUAUAUAGUACAAAUUGGAAUGAUACAGAGAAGAUUAGCAUGGCCCCUGUGCAAGAUUGACACAUUAAUUCAUGAAGCAGUACAUAUUUUU
Molecule: small nuclear RNA, 108 nt
Organism: Molossus molossus (Pallas's mastiff bat)
Lineage: Eukaryota; Metazoa; Chordata; Mammalia; Chiroptera; Molossidae
Source: RefSeq, a predicted model, not a curated record